Molecule: ribosomal RNA, 1456 nt
Filed under: metagenome
Description: bacterial LSU rRNA
Rfam family: Bacterial large subunit ribosomal RNA
Source: RNAcentral
GGCGGUAUGACAGAACUGUGGGGACACGUAAGGAAAGCGGAAGCCGGGAAUGGAAAGCCCGGUGCAAGCGGGGUACCAGCCACUUUGGCAAAUCCGGGUGGCAAUGGGAAGCCGUGAUGCGGAGCGAAAUAAAGUAGCGAAGUCCGUGAGCCAUGCGUCAAGAAAAGCCGCUAUUGUUUAUACCGUACCCGUACCGUAAACCGACACAGGUGGAUGAGGAGAGAAUCCUAAGGCCGGCGGAAGAAGCAUUGUCAAGGAACUCGGCAAAAUGGCCCCGUAACUUAGGGAUAAGGGGUGCCUGGGAAGCCAGGCCGCAGAGAAUAGGCUCAAGCAACUGUUUAGCAAAAACACAGGUCUAUGCGAAACCGAAAGGUGAGGUAUAUGGGCUGACGCCUGCCCGGUGCUGGAAGGUUAAGAGGAGAGGUUAGCGGUAACGCGAAGCUUUGAAUUUAAGCCCCAGUAAACGGCGGCCGUAACUAUAACGGUCCUAAGGUAGCGAAAUUCCUUGUCGGGUAAGUUCCGACCCGCACGAAAGGCGUAAUGAUUUGAGCGCUGUCUCGACAAUGCAUCCGGUGAAAUUGAAGUACCAGUGAAGAUGCUGGUUACCUGCGCCAGGACGGAAAGACCCCAUGGAGCUUUACUCCAGUCUGGUACUGGGACUCGGUAUUGCAUGUACAGGAUAGGUGGGAGGCUAGGAGAUGGUAACGCCAGUUGCCAUGGAGCCGCUGUUGGGAUACCACCCUUGCAGUAUUGGGUUUCUAACCAGCCGCCGUGACCCGGCGGUGGGACAAUGCCAGACGGGGAGUUUGACUGGGGCGGUCGCCUCCGAAAGGGUAUCGGAGGCGCCCAAAGGUUCCCUCAGAAUGGACGGAAACCAUUCGAAGAGUGCAAAGGCAGAAGGGAGCUUGACUGCGACACCGACGGGUGGAGCAGGUACGAAAGUAGGGCUUAGUGAUCCGGUGGUAAAGUGGGAAUGCCAUCGCUCAACGGAUAAAAGCUACCCUGGAUAACAGGCUUAUCACUCCCAAGAGUUCACAUCGACGGAGUGGUUUGGCACCUCGAUGUCGGCUCAUCGCAUCCUGGGGCUGUAGUAGGUCCCAAGGGUUGGGCUGUUCGCCCAUUAAAGCGGUACGCGAGCUGGGUUCAGAACGUCGUGAGACAGUUCGGUCCCUAUCCGGCGUGGGCGUAGGAUAUCUGAGAGGAGCUGUCCUUAGUACGAGAGGACCGGGAUGGACGGGCCGCUGGUGCAUCGGUUAGACUGCCAAGUCUACGGCCGAGUAGCCAAGCCCGGAAGGGAUAAACGCUGAAGGCAUCUAAGCGUGAAGCCCCCCUUAAGAUGAGAUAUCCCAUUCGAAAGAAGUAAACCCCCUUGAAGACGACGAGGUAGAUAGGGCAGAGGUGGAAGUGCAGCAAUGCAUGGAGCUGACUGUUACUAAUCGGGUGAGGGCUUGACCAG